AGUGAACGCUGGCGGUAGGCCUAACACAUGCAAGUCGAACGGCAGCACACUAAGAGCUUGCUCUUACGGGUGGCGAGUGGCGGACGGGUGAGGAAUACAUCGGAACCUACUUUUUCGUGGGGGAUAACGUAGGGAAACUUACGCUAAUACCGCAUACGACCUACGGGUGAAAGCAGGGGAUCUUUGGACCUUGCGCGAUUGAACGAGCCGAUGUCGGAUUAGUUAGUUGGCGGGGUAAAGGCCCACCAAGGCGACGAUCCGUAGCUGGUCUGAGAGGAUGAUCAGCCGCACUGGAACUGAGACAGGGUCCAGGCUCCUGCGGGAGGCAGCAGUGGGGAAUAUUGGGCAAUGGGCGCAAACCUGAUCCAACCAUACCGCGUGGGUGAAGAAGGCCUUCGGGUUGUGAAGCCCGUUUGUUGGGUAAGAAAAGCAGCAGGUUAGUACCCAGCUGUGUUGACGGUACCCGAAGAAUAAGCACCGGCUAACUUCGUG
This 492-nucleotide ribosomal RNA is filed under the name uncultured bacterium. RNAcentral describes it as "partial 16S ribosomal RNA". It matches the Rfam family "Bacterial small subunit ribosomal RNA", at positions 29 to 507 of the family's 1533-position model. The record is from RNAcentral.